Molecule: long non-coding RNA, 803 nt
Organism: Brienomyrus brachyistius
Lineage: Eukaryota; Metazoa; Chordata; Actinopteri; Osteoglossiformes; Mormyridae
Exons: 3
Source: RefSeq, a predicted model, not a curated record
CUGCACCGUAGGUACCCCACAGAGAGAGCUCGGCCAUGACCGGAGAAUGCGAGCUGCAAAGCCUGGCGCGGAGCCCCUCAUCGUCCGAGGCCAGAAGGAAGCCUCCUCCUUUUCUCCUGCAGUUCCUUGCCGGCUAUCAGCUGCCAGUUUUGUUUGGCAUGUUUGUUUCGGCUGAGUCCUGAGGGAGACUGAUGGCCCCCGUCUGUCUGGGGAGACGCCGAGAUGUUUUGGCGGCAGAUGCACCAUAUCUUGACAGAGAAGGAAAGAUCUCCUUUGUUUCGGCUUUGAGAUGGAAAGGGAGCAAACAGCACCACUGAGCGGGGACCACCACACCACACCUCGCAUAUUCAUCACAGCCUCCCCAGAUGCGGAAACGCCAUUCCCGCAAGCCCCAAGUGGACAUAACGGGACCUGGCGUGCACAGAUCGACGCCCCAUGGAAGCACAGGCACUCCCGGCCCUUGCCGGAUAUCGGCUGGGGUUCAGACAGAGCCUGCGGUAAUUACUGUAGAUCAGAGUCUGACUAGGUAGAGGGUGUCACCGAGAGGCCCGACCCAGGCUCUGGGGGGGCAGCAAUUAUGACCCCCAUGCCCCAACUGACAUGCUAUACAGUUCAACAGGUAUUAAGUUUACAUUUUAUUUAUAUAGUGCAAUAUCACUGUGAAUACUGUAUGUAUAUAGUGCAAUAAUGUAAUCAGUGUGCAACAAUGUGCAACAUUUUUCUUUUCAACCUUUUCAGCACUGACUGGUCCUACAUUUCUGUAUAUAUAUUGUUUUGUAUAUUUAGUGUCUGUUCUGUGCCAC